UACGGAGGGUGCAAGCGUUGUUCGGAUUUACUGGGCGUAAAGGGCGUGUAGGCGGAAGCGCAAGCCGAAGGUGAAAGCCCCGGGCUCAACCCGGGAAGUGCUUUCGGAACUGCGGUUCUAGAGAGAGCUAGAGGCAGGUGGAAUUCCGGGUGUAGAGGUGAAAUUCGUAGAGAUCCGGAGGAACACCGGCGGCGAAGGCGGCCUGCUGGAGCUCAUCUGACGCUGAGGCGCGAAAGCGUGGGGAGCAAACAGG
This 253-nucleotide ribosomal RNA is filed under the name uncultured bacterium. Its description in RNAcentral is "partial 16S ribosomal RNA". It matches the Rfam family "Bacterial small subunit ribosomal RNA", at positions 524 to 776 of the family's 1533-position model. The record is from RNAcentral.